AUCAAUCUUAUUACGUUUAUAG
RNAcentral lists this microRNA (22 nucleotides) under Drosophila pseudoobscura pseudoobscura. RNAcentral describes it as "mir-2564-RB". The record is from RNAcentral. Lineage: Eukaryota; Metazoa; Arthropoda; Insecta; Diptera; Drosophilidae.